UACGGAGGAUGCGAGCGUUAUCCGGAUUUAUUGGGUUUAAAGGAUGCGUAGGCUGGUAAUUAAGUCAGUGGUGAAAUACUCCGGCUCAACCGGGGGGCUGCCGUUGAUACUGGUUACCUUGAGUUUAGAUGAUGUGGGCGGAAUGUGUCAUGUAGCGGUGAAAUGCAUAGAGAUGACACAGAACACCGAUAGCGAAGGCAGCUCACAAAGCUAUUACUGACGCUGAUGCACGAAAGCGUGGGGAUCAAACAGGA
Molecule: ribosomal RNA, 254 nt
Filed under: uncultured prokaryote
Description: partial 16S ribosomal RNA
Rfam family: Bacterial small subunit ribosomal RNA
Source: RNAcentral